UACGGAGGGUGCAAGCGUUAUCCGGAUUCACUGGGUUUAAAGGGCUCGUAGGCGGUUUGUCACGUCGGGAGUGAAAACUCGGGGCUUAACCCCGAGCCUGCUUCCGAUACGGGCUGACUAGAGGUAUGCAGGGGAGAACGGAAUUCCUGGUGUAGCGGUGAAAUGCGUAGAUAUCAAGAGGAACACCUGCGGCGAAGGCGGGUUGCUGGGCCGACACUGACGCUGAGGCGCGAAAGCCAGGGGAGCGAACGGG
This 253-nucleotide ribosomal RNA is filed under the name uncultured bacterium. RNAcentral's name for it is "partial 16S ribosomal RNA". It matches the Rfam family "Bacterial small subunit ribosomal RNA", at positions 524 to 776 of the family's 1533-position model. The record is from RNAcentral.